RNAcentral lists this long non-coding RNA (402 nucleotides) under Marmota monax (woodchuck). Lineage: Eukaryota; Metazoa; Chordata; Mammalia; Rodentia; Sciuridae. The record is from RNAcentral.
GUGGGGCCUAGUUUCAGGAAGUAGAUGCCUAGUUUCAGGAAGUAGAUGCCUAGUUUCAGGAAGUAGAUCCCCAGGCUUGACCUUUAAAGGGUGUAUUUUCUCUCCAACGUUUCUCUCUCUUCUCUCUCUCUCUCUCUCUCUCUCUCUCUCUCUCUCUCUCUCUCUCUCCUCUCUCUCCUCUCUCUCUUCUCUCUCUCUCUCGCCUUGAGGGGAGCAGCUGUGCCUCACUACUGCACUCCCCACCACCUUGAUCUGCCUCAACAAAGGCCAGAAGUGAUGGAGCCAACUGACUAUAAACUGAGACCUCUUAAACUGUGAACCAAAAUAAAUCUUUCCUCCUGGAAGUUGAUUUCCUCCCUUCCUAAGCCAGAGCAAGAUAAAGCUAACACACCUUCAGACUAU